Molecule: long non-coding RNA, 252 nt
Filed under: Elaeis guineensis (African oil palm)
Lineage: Eukaryota; Viridiplantae; Streptophyta; Magnoliopsida; Arecales; Arecaceae
Description: long non-coding RNA (EGUI_LNC047030)
Source: RNAcentral
UCCACAGAUGAGUCACUUGUUCAGUGAUAAUGUACCCCUACAUCUCACUUGUAUGCCAUACCAGUGUCUCCACACUCCUUGAUUACAAGGACAACCAACCUAUAUGGUAUACAAUGACUUAUACUCGAUAAAUAUCAUCAUCCUUUAAUGAUGUAUUAUUUGGUCACGAACAUGUUUAAGAACUAUUUGAUAAAUCUUCUUUUAUCGAUUUUCAUGUAGUUUUAAAGACUUCAUCACAACACAUGAGUUCAU